Molecule: RNA transcript, 1667 nt
Organism: Solenopsis invicta (red fire ant)
Lineage: Eukaryota; Metazoa; Arthropoda; Insecta; Hymenoptera; Formicidae
Gene name: developmentally-regulated GTP-binding protein 2
Exons: 6
Source: RefSeq, a predicted model, not a curated record
GCCAAGACUGCGUUCGAAAAUUCUACUCGUCGGCACAGUUUAAAGUUACACAUACACAUAAAUGAUUGGCGCUACUGUCACUGUCACCAAAUUAUCAUCAUUGCACGCGUCAGCCGAAAUUGCUGUUGAUCCCUUCCCGGUAAAUGUAAAAUAAAUACGUUAUUGUAUUAAGAGUUCAGUUUUGCAAUGGGAAUCCUGGAAAAGAUCUCGGAAAUUGAGAAGGAGAUUGCGCGCACGCAGAAAAAUAAAGCCACCGAGUACCAUCUGGGCUUGUUGAAGGCAAAGCUCGCUAAAUACAGAUCCCAGCUUUUGGAACCGGCGAAAAAGUCAGAGAAGGGUGAAGGUUUCGACGUGCUGAAAUCGGGCGAUGCCAGAGUCGCACUAAUUGGCUUCCCAUCGGUCGGCAAAUCAACUCUGCUCAGUACACUGACUGCUACCCAGUCAGAGGCGGCGUCUUAUGAAUUUACCACCCUGACAUGUAUCCCUGGCGUUAUCGAGUACAAAGGUGCCAAUAUACAAUUGCUGGAUCUGCCUGGUAUAAUCGAAGGAGCGGCGCAGGGAAAAGGACGAGGUAGGCAAGUGAUAUCUGUCGCUAGAACGGCGGAUUUGGUACUUAUGAUGUUGGAUGCAACUAAGCAGGACGUUCAGCGACAACUUUUAGAGAAGGAAUUGGAAUCAGUUGGGAUAAGACUUAACAAGAAAAAACCGAAUAUAUAUUUCAAAGUGAAAAAGGGCGGCGGCUUAGCCUUUAAUUCAACGUGUCCUUUGACGAAAGUGGAUGAGAAGCUAGUUCAAAUGAUUCUACAUGAAUAUAAAAUCUUCAAUGCUGAGGUGCUGUUUCGCGAGGAUUACAGCGCAGACGAAUUGAUCGAUGUUAUCAACGCGAACAGAGUAUAUUUGCCUUGCCUUUAUGUAUAUAAUAAAAUAGAUCAAAUAUCGAUAGAGGAAGUCGAUCGGAUUGCUAGGCAACCCAAUAGUGUUGUAGUUAGUUGCAAUAUGAAAUUAAAUCUUGAUUUUCUGCUGGAAAUAUUGUGGGAAUACUUGUGCUUGAUAAGAGUAUAUACAAAAAAACCUGGGCAACCACCUGACUUUGACGACGGUUUAAUAUUGAGGAAAGGGGUAACAGUAGAACAUGUAUGUCAUGCAAUUCACCGUACUCUUGCCCAACAAUUCAAAUAUGCUCUUGUGUGGGGCACAAGUACCAAGUAUUCGCCUCAGCGAGUAGGAUCGCAGCAUGUGAUGCACGAUGAAGACGUCGUACAAAUAAUGAAAAAAUAAAUUCCAACAAAAAUUUACAAAGCCGUUCGUAAGGAAAUGUGAAUAGCAAUAUAAGCCUUACUUAGCCUUUUAUGUACAACAAAGUAAGCGAGCAAACUACUACUCCGACAAAACUGUGAAAUUCGACGGUUUUAGGAUGAAUGUAUUUAAAUUACCUAUUUUAAGAAGCUUGUGGUUUGCAGAACUUAUUCCAAUAAAAUUUCUUAAGAGAAGAGGAGGGAGAAGGAAGGAAAAUGAAACAAAUUUAUUUUAAAAUCAAAUCUGAGAAUAUAUCAUAUACAUCUAUCAAAUUAUAACUAUUGUAAUGAGUAAUUUUGGGACUCGUUAAAAGUGUACAUGUAAGAGUUACACAUACACAUAAUUUAUAAAUAAAAUUUUUAUAUAAUAAA